Molecule: non-coding RNA, 208 nt
Organism: Elaeis guineensis (African oil palm)
Lineage: Eukaryota; Viridiplantae; Streptophyta; Magnoliopsida; Arecales; Arecaceae
Source: RefSeq, a predicted model, not a curated record
AGCGAUUGCAGGACUCCACGAGAGUGAAACAUUAUCAACCAUGAAAAGGAGAUGUUUAGCAUCCAAAGACUAUUAGAGAGAGAGAGAGAGAGGUAUUAUAAUAGAAGUGCGUAAAAAGGAUGAUAAAUGCAAUAAAAAUGGAGGCAAAUGAUUAAUUCAUAUACGAAACUCUUUGCAACAUAUUGCAAGCCAAAUCCAGAGGAACAGU